RNAcentral lists this ribosomal RNA (220 nucleotides) under uncultured bacterium. RNAcentral describes it as "partial 16S ribosomal RNA". It matches the Rfam family "Bacterial small subunit ribosomal RNA", at positions 57 to 305 of the family's 1533-position model. The record is from RNAcentral.
GCAAGUCGAGCGCGCCCUUCGGGGUGAGCGGCGGACGGGUGAGUAACGCGUGGGAAUAUGCCCUUCUCUAAGGAAUAGCCUCUGGAAACGGAGAGUAAUACCUUAUACGCCCUUUGGGGGAAAGAUUUAUCGGAGAAGGAUUAGCCCGCGUUAGAUUAGGUAGUUGGUGGGGUAAUGGCCUACCAAGCCUAUGACGCCUAGCUGGUCUGAGAGGAUGAUC